GAUGAAGAACGUAGCGAAAUGCGAUAAGUAGUGUGAAUUGCAGAAUUCAGUGAAUCAUCGAAUCUUUGAACGCACACUGCGCCCCUUGGUAUUCCAUGGGGCAUGCCUGUUCGAGCGUCAUUUGUACCUUCAAGCUUUGCUUGGUGUUGGGUGUUUGUCUCGCCUUUGCGUGUAGACUCGCCUUAAAAUAAUUGGCAGCCGGCGUAUUGAUUUCGGAGCGCAGUACAUCUCGCGCUUUGCACUCAUAACGACAGCGUCCAAAAGUACAUUUUACACUCUUGACCUCGGAUCAGGUAGGGAUACCCGCUGAACUUAAGCAUAUCAAUAAGCGGAGGA
RNAcentral lists this unclassified non-coding RNA (336 nucleotides) under soil metagenome. Its description in RNAcentral is "partial contains 5.8S ribosomal RNA, internal transcribed spacer 2, and large subunit ribosomal RNA". The stretch from base 1 to 120 matches the Rfam family "5.8S ribosomal RNA", at positions 35 to 154 of the family's 154-position model. The record is from RNAcentral.